UGAGAGAGUAGAAGAGCUAAGUCUUAGCCUU
RNAcentral lists this non-coding RNA (31 nucleotides) under Homo sapiens (human). Lineage: Eukaryota; Metazoa; Chordata; Mammalia; Primates; Hominidae. The record is from RNAcentral.